Molecule: small RNA, 217 nt
Filed under: Mus musculus domesticus (western European house mouse)
Lineage: Eukaryota; Metazoa; Chordata; Mammalia; Rodentia; Muridae
Description: partial expressed neighbor of Xist non-coding RNA
Source: RNAcentral
AACUUAUAAAAUGGCGGCGUCCACAUGUAUACGUCCUUCCCGGGAUUAGCCAGGCAGCUAGAGGAUGACUUAAUAAGGAGAGUGGAGAAACUGGCCAAUUAAUGAACAUGCCCUGUUCAAGAUGUUCAACUUGGCUGCUCCAGCUACCAUGCCUGCUGCCUGCCACCUCCACUCUGUCAUGGAACUGUAAGCCCAAAUAAACUCUUUUUUUAUCUAA